GCCUGCACCCAAAAUUUUUUUUUUCUUUUUUUUUCUUUUUCGUAUAUAGUAUUAUACAAUUUUUUAAAAAAAAUACAUGGGUUCCGGCCAUUGACAGGCCAGAACCCAAAAAAAUAAUUUUUUUAAGUCUGACACAAUGAUUAGCCAAUCAUUGGUGCAAAAAAAGAGUGGGUACUGUUUAUUUUAGGUUAUUUUGGUGAUUAUUUUUGAACUUGAGUUAUUUUUGCAAAUAUAAUUUAUUUUUGGGUUAGUUUGGUAAAACAGCCCUUGACAAUCUUUGCAUGUUGUUGCUCUCUGAAGGUAUGAAUAGCUUUUUGCUGAUCUUUCCCUGUAAGCAAAAUUAUAGGUUUAUGUUUGAGUUUAUUGACUCUUGUAAUAUGUAGAUGUGGUUUUCUGUUCUUUGUUCCAAAUGGGGAAUAUUUGGAACCGUGCUAUAUUAAACCUGAUGAUGGUAUGCAUAUUGUUUGCUUCAUUCCUUUGUCAUGAUGUAAUUUCGUUACUGGCAUUAAUUGAUGCUACAUCCUCCGACAGCGACCUUGAAAAUGAGAGUGGUGUUAGAAUGGUGGCAUUGUUUGAUCAUGAGGAGGUUGGAUCUAAUUCAGCACAAGGAGCGGAUCUCCUGCAAUGGAAUAUUUGGAACCGUGCUAUAUUAAACCUGAUAAUGGUAUGCAUAUUUUUUGCUUCAUCCCUUUGUCAUGAUGUAAUUUCAUUACAGG
This 716-nucleotide long non-coding RNA is filed under the name Gossypium barbadense (sea-island cotton). RNAcentral describes it as "long non-coding RNA (GBAR_LNC015023)". The record is from RNAcentral. Lineage: Eukaryota; Viridiplantae; Streptophyta; Magnoliopsida; Malvales; Malvaceae.